Molecule: ribosomal RNA, 262 nt
Filed under: uncultured bacterium
Lineage: Bacteria
Description: partial 16S ribosomal RNA
Rfam family: Bacterial small subunit ribosomal RNA
Source: RNAcentral
GUCCACGCCGUAACGAUGAGUGCUAGAUGUCACGGGCUUUGACUCCUGUGGUGUCGUAGCUAACGCGUUAAGCACUCCGCCUGGGAAGUACGGUCGCAAGACUAAACUCAAAGGAAUUGACGGGGCCCGCACAAGCGGUGGAGCAUGUGGUUAAUUCGACGCAACGCGCAGAACCUUACCUGGGCUUGAAAAGGGCGGAAUCCCGCAGAAACGUGGGAGUGCUCGCAAGAGAACCGUCAUUCAGGUGCUGCAUGGCUGUCGU